This 253-nucleotide ribosomal RNA is filed under the name uncultured bacterium. RNAcentral's name for it is "partial 16S ribosomal RNA". It matches the Rfam family "Bacterial small subunit ribosomal RNA", at positions 524 to 776 of the family's 1533-position model. The record is from RNAcentral.
UACGGAGGGUGCAAGCGUUGUUCGGAAUCACUGGGCGUAAAGGGCGUGUAGGCGGUCCGCUAAGUCUGAUGUGAAAGCCCGGGGCUCACCCCCGGAAGGGCAUUGGAAACUGGCGGACUCGAGUCUCGGAGAGGAAGGUGGAAUUCCUGGUGUAGCGGUGAAAUGCGUAGAUAUCAGGAGGAAUACCGGUGGCGAAGGCGGUCUUCUGGACGAUGACUGACGCUGAGACGCGAAAGCGUGGGGAGCAAACAGG